AACCUCGAUUCCUCUCUUAUAAUGAACCCCAACAUCUUACCGGAUCGCACUCUGAAUGUGCACUUAUUCAAUUCAACCUCAGUUUGAAUCAUUUCAACUGGUCAAACGACUUGGCCAGGUCUACCAAAUGCCCCUCUUCUGUUUGGGACUUUGCUAUCAUGUCAUAGCAUAGCAUUCAACUUCAUGAUGAAUCAUAUCAUGAAACAAAGUCACCAUGGCUCUCUGAUACAGGCAUUGGCGUUCU
This 244-nucleotide long non-coding RNA is filed under the name Lathyrus oleraceus (garden pea). Its description in RNAcentral is "Pisum sativum (pea) long non-coding RNA (PSAT_LNC039532)". The record is from RNAcentral. Lineage: Eukaryota; Viridiplantae; Streptophyta; Magnoliopsida; Fabales; Fabaceae.